UCUCACAAUUCAGUAUUCUUAUUUAUCUUGUCUCACAUUUUUUUGGGCCACAAAAGGAUCCCAAUAAUGAAAUAUCUAUUCCAUAUAGGAACACAGUGGAGCCUGUUCAAAAAAAUUGAUUGUACCUAAGUUGUAUUUUCCUGGCAAAAUUUGCUAGAAUUUAGAAGAAGCCAUUCCACUCAAUUAUUUAAAAUCGAAGAAAUUAAACUGCAAAAUAUAAUUUUGAUGUUCCUCGCGGCCGCUCAAGACGCUCAUUCAAAACCAUGAUUCAGUGCACAAAUUUGAAAUUGCUACCCACUACCUUAACACCCGUUCUCUUGGCUUUGUGGCGAGAAAUAAACCUUAACAGUACUCUGAUUCUUCUUCUUCGUGUGAAAAUUUGAACUGAUUUGUUUGAGAAAUUUUGAGAGGGUGUCUUUCCGAGGGGAAAAGUGCUAAAGCAAGCGCGAGGAUGAAGAGGAGAGACGAAGGCGUGACAAACAACAAACAGAAGAUUUACCUGGGAACGAAGAAGAGAGGGAAAGGGGCCAUAAAGUUUGAUGAAAAGAGAAAAGGGGCCGUGAAUGAUAUCUGCUGGUGUUGGCUGUGAAUGAUAAAUGUUGUAUCUGGUGACUUUGGUCUACACUUUUCUCAUCAACCAAGCUACAAAAAGGACAUUGCCAUCCUAAAAUCCAUGCAUAUCGAGGGGAUAUCCAUCAGUUUAAAGCCAACAAUAUUCACAGAUUUUUUUCGCUUCUGACAAACAUAAGUUUCAAACACCAAAAGCAAAGAGUUAAAAAAAGAGUAGGAAAAGUUGUACCAAUUUGUUGCCGGAGAUGAAAACAAAAGUGUGAAAUGUUUGGUAUUUGUUCAUGAAUUUCUUUUUCACUGGAAAGAAAAAUUGUGCCAAUUGGUAGCCAGGAGAUGAAACAAUCUCAGAAAGUUUGUUGUUUGUCCAUGAAUUUCUUUGACCAAUUUAUUUCUCUUGUAAGUGCGAAAAUCUUCAUAACCCAAAUUCUGUUAUAAAUAUCCCAAGUAGUGGAUAUCCAUUAA
Lycium barbarum (goji berry) is the source of this 1032-nucleotide long non-coding RNA. RefSeq lists it as uncharacterized. NCBI's taxonomy places the organism in Eukaryota, Viridiplantae, Streptophyta, Magnoliopsida, Solanales, Solanaceae. The transcript has 2 exons. The record is from RefSeq and is a predicted model, not a curated record.